UGGUUCCGGCAUCGAUGAAGAACGCAGCGAAAUGCGAUAAGUAAUGUGAAUUGCAGAACUCAGUGAAUCAUCGAAUUUUUGAACGCAUAUUGCGCCCUCCGGUAUUCCGGGGGGCAUGCCUGUUCGAGCGUCAUUGAACACCCCUCAAGCUCCGCUUGGUGUUGGGCACCGUCGCGCCGCGACGCGCCCCAAAUAUAAUUUGGCUGCGGGCUCCGGCUCCGGGCGCUGCGAGGCGUAACAACGUCAUGCGCUCGGGGGUCGGUGCCUCGACCGGCCAGCAAAACAACCCAUCUUAACGUUGACCUCGAAUCAGGUAGGGAUACCCGCUGA
This 330-nucleotide unclassified non-coding RNA is filed under the name uncultured fungus. RNAcentral's name for it is "partial contains 5.8S ribosomal RNA and internal transcribed spacer 2". The stretch from base 1 to 133 matches the Rfam family "5.8S ribosomal RNA", at positions 22 to 154 of the family's 154-position model. The record is from RNAcentral. Lineage: Eukaryota; Fungi.